ACUGAAUCCAUAGGUUAAUGAGGCGAACCGGGGGAACUGAAACAUCUAAGUACCCCGAGGAAAAGAAAUCAACCGAGAUUCCCCCAGUAGCGGCGAGCGAACGGGGAGCAGCCCAGAGCCUGAAUCAGUAUGUGUGUUAGUGGAAGCGUCUGGAAAGGCGCGCGAUACAGGGUGACAGCCCCGUACACAAAAAUGCACAUGCUGUGAGCUCGAUGAGUAGGGCGGGACACGUGGUAUCCUGUCUGAAUAUGGGGGGACCAUCCUCCAAGGCUAAAUACUCCUGACUGACCGAUAGUGAACCAGUACCGUGAGGGAAAGGCGAAAAGAACCCCGGCGAGGGGAGUGAAAAAGAACCUGAAACCGUGUACGUACAAGCAGUGGGAGCACGCUUAGGCGUGUGACUGCGUACCUUUUGUAUAAUGGGUCAGCGACUUAUAUUCUGUAGCAAGGUUAACCGAAUAGGGGAGCCGAAGGGAAACCGAGUCUUAACUGGGCGUUAAGUUGCAGGGUAUAGACCCGAAACCCGGUGAUCUAGCCAUGGGCAGGUUGAAGGUUGGGUAACACUAACUGGAGGACCGAACCGACUAAUGUUGAAAAAUUAGCGGAUGACUUGUGGCUGGGGGUGAAAGGCCAAUCAAACCGGGAGAUAGCUGGUUCUCCCCGAAAGCUAUUUAGGUAGCGCCUCGUGAAUUCAUCUCCGGGGGUAGAGCACUGUUUCGGCAAGGGGGUCAUCCCGACUUACCAACCCGAUGCAAACUGCGAAUACCGGAGAAUGUUAUCACGGGAGACACACGGCGGGUGCUAACGUCCGUCGUGAAGAGGGAAACAACCCAGACCGCCAGCUAAGGUCCCAAAGUCAUGGUUAAGUGGGAAACGAUGUGGGAAGGCCCAGACAGCCAGGAUGUUGGCUUAGAAGCAGCCAUCAUUUAAAGAAAGCGUAAUAGCUCACUGGUCGAGUCGGCCUGCGCGGAAGAUGUAACGGGGCUAAACCAUGCAC
RNAcentral lists this ribosomal RNA (997 nucleotides) under Escherichia coli. RNAcentral's name for it is "partial 23S ribosomal RNA". It matches the Rfam family "Bacterial large subunit ribosomal RNA", at positions 157 to 1194 of the family's 2925-position model. Lineage: Bacteria; Pseudomonadati; Pseudomonadota; Gammaproteobacteria; Enterobacterales; Enterobacteriaceae. The record is from RNAcentral.